RNAcentral lists this ribosomal RNA (555 nucleotides) under uncultured Bacteroidota bacterium. RNAcentral's name for it is "bacterial SSU rRNA". It matches the Rfam family "Bacterial small subunit ribosomal RNA", at positions 214 to 766 of the family's 1533-position model. Lineage: Bacteria; Pseudomonadati; Bacteroidota. The record is from RNAcentral.
AUCGGUGAUGGAUGGGGAUGCGUCUGAUUAGCUUGUUGGCGGGGUAACGGCCCACCAAGGCGACGAUCAGUAGGGGUUCUGAGAGGAAGGUCCCCCACAUUGGAACUGAGACACGGUCCAAACUCCUACGGGAGGCAGCAGUGAGGAAUAUUGGUCAAUGGGCGAGAGCCUGAACCAGCCAAGUAGCGUGCAGGAUGACGGCCCUAUGGGUUGUAAACUGCUUUUAUAAGGGAAUAAAGUGAGUCUCGUGAGACUUUUUGCAUGUACCUUAUGAAUAAGGACCGGCUAAUUCCGUGCCAGCAGCCGCGGUAAUACGGAAGGUCCGGGCGUUAUCCGGAUUUAUUGGGUUUAAAGGGAGCGUAGGCCGGAGAUUAAGCGUGUUGUGAAAUGUAGACGCUCAACGUCUGCACUGCAGCGCGAACUGGUUUCCUUGAGUACGCACAAAGUGGGCGGAAUUCGUGGUGUAGCGGUGAAAUGCUUAGAUAUCACGAAGAACUCCGAUUGCGAAGGCAGCUCACUGGAGCGCAACUGACGUUGAAGCUAGAAAGUGCGGGU